AACAAAUUAAUAAGUGCAAAUGGCGGAUGCCUAGGCACCAGAAGCCGAUGAAGGUCGUAGGAGGCUGCGAAAAGCCUCGGGGAGCCGCCAACCAGGCUUCGAUCCGAGGAUUACCGAAUGGGGAAACCCGGCUGGAGUAAUGUCCAGUCAUUUCUCUCUGAAUAAAUAGGAGAGUCAAAGGUAACGAGGGGAAGUGAAACAUCUCAGUACCCUCAGGAAGAGAAAACAACCGUGAUUCCGUUAGUAGUGGCGAGCGAAAGCGGAAGAGGCUAAACCAAUCAUGUGCCAAGCCGGCAGGCGUUGCAUGAUCGGUGUCGUGGGACUAAAUGAAAUUAACUGCCGUUAAUUUAACAAGUCAGAAAAUAGUGAAAUAGAUGAAGGACGUGGGAAAGUCCGGCAUAGAAGGUGAGACCCCUGUAGUCGAAAUUUCAUUAUCUUGUUUUUAGUAUCCCAAGUAAUACCGGACUCGUGUAAUCCGGUAUGAAUCUGGCGGGACCACCCGCUAAGCCUAAAUACUCUCUGGUGACCGAUAGUGAACAAGUACCGUGAGGGAAAGGUGAAAAGAACCCCGCAAGGGGAGUGAAAUAGAAUCUGAAACCGUUUGCAUACAAACCGUUGGAGCUGCCUUGUGCAGUGACAGCGUGCCUUUUGAAGAAUGAGUCUACGAGUUAGUGUGAUGUAGCAAGGUUAACCCGUCGAGGGGAAGCCGUAGCGAAAGCGAGUCUGAAUAGGGCGAAUAAGUUGCAUCAUCUAAACCCGAAGCGAGGUGAUCUCGCCAUGACCAGGUUGAAGCGCGGGUAAGACCGCGUGGAGGACCGAACCCACUAAAGUUGAAAAUUUAGGGGAUGAGUUGUGGCUAGGGGUGAAAGACCAAUCAAACUUCGUGAUAGCUGGUUCUCUCCGAAAUGCAUUUAGGUGCAGCGUCACGUGUUUCUUACUGGAGGUAGAGCUACUGGAUGGCCGAGGGGUCCUACAAGAUUACCAACGUCAGCCAAACUCCGAAUGCCAGUAAGUGAGAACGUGGCAGUGAGACAGUGGGGGAUAAGCUUCAUUGUCGAGAGGGAAACAACCCAGAACAGCAACUAAGGUCCCAAAGCCUGUGCUAAGUGGAAAAGGAUGUGAAGUCGCAUAGACAACCAGGAGGUUGGCUUAGAAGCAGCCACCCUUAAAAGAGUGCGUAAUAGCUCACUGGUCAAGUGAUUUCGCGCCGACAAUGUAACGGGGCUCAAGCACAGCACCGAAGUUCUGUCAUUCACACACUAUCCCGGUCGCAAGAUCCAGGAGUGUGGAUGGGUAGGAGAGCGUUGUGUAACUAGUGAAGCGGCGGAGGAAUCCAGCCGUGGAAGUUACACAAGUGAGAAUGUAGACAUGAGUAGCGAAAGACGGGUGAGAAACCCGUCCACCGAAUGACCAAGGGUUCCUGAGCCAGGCUAAUCCGCUCAGGGUAAGUCGGGUCCUAAGGCGAGGCCGACAGGCGUAGUCGAUGGACAACUGGUUGAUAUUCCAGUACCCACAAUAAACCGACCGUGACGAAUCAAUAAUGCUAAGUGUUUGAAGUUGGCUAGCAAUAGCUGAUGGAGCGCACGACCCAAGUUGGUAGUAGUCAAGCAAUGGAGAGACGCAGGAAGGUAGUCCAACCCAGGCGAUGGUUGACCUGGGGUAAGAGUGUAGGAGGUUCUGUAGGAAAAUCCGCAGAACAAUCUCUGAGACUUGAUGCCGAGCCGUAAGGCGAAGUGGAUGAUCCUAUGCUGCCAAGAAAAUCUUCUAGCGAGGUUUAUAGUGGCCCGUACCCGAAACCGACACAGGUGGUCAGGUAGAGAAUACCAAGGUGAUCGAGAGAAUCGUGGUGAAGGAACUCGGCAAAAUACCCCCGUAACUUCGGGAGAAGGGGGGCUAAUUUUUGUGUAGAGGUUUACCUUCGAAGCAUAAGUUAGACGCAGAGAAUAGGCUCAAGCGACUGUUUACCAAAAACACAGGUCCGUGCGAAGUUGCAAAACGAUGUAUACGGACUGACGCCUGCCCGGUGCUGGAAGGUUAAGGGGAUGUGUAGCAUAGGUGGGAGACUUUGAAGCGGCACGCCAGUGUUCGUGGAGUCAAAAAUUGAAAUACCACUCUGAACGUUUUGAGUUUCUAACCUCGGCCCAUUAUCUGGGUCAGGGACAGUGUCUGGUGGGUAGUUUAACUGGGGCGGUUGCCUCCCAAAAAGUAACGGAGGCGCUCAAAGGUUCCCUCAGCCUGGUUGGUAAUCAGGUGUCGAGUGUAAGUGCACAAGGGAGCUUAACUGUGAGACAGACAUGUCAAGCAGGUGCGAAAGCAGGAACUAGUGAUCCGGCGGUGGCUUGUGGAAGCGCCGUCGCUCAACGGAUAAAAGGUACCCC
Molecule: ribosomal RNA, 2378 nt
Filed under: Candidatus Allofontibacter communis
Lineage: Bacteria; Pseudomonadati; Pseudomonadota; Alphaproteobacteria; Candidatus Pelagibacterales; Candidatus Pelagibacteraceae
Description: partial 23S ribosomal RNA
Rfam family: Bacterial large subunit ribosomal RNA
Source: RNAcentral